CAGUCGCCGCGGGAAUACGAGGGGGGCAGGCGUUGUUCGGAAUUAUUGGGCGUAAAGGGCGCGUAGGCGGUUUGGCAAGUUUGGUGUGAAAUCUUCGGGCUCAACUCGAAGUCUGCACCGAAAACUGCCGGGCUUGAGUAUGGGAGAGGUGAGUGGAAUUUCCGGUGUAGCAGUGAAAUGCGUAGAUAUCGGAAGGAACACCUGUGGCGAAAGCGGCUCACUGGACCAUUACUGACGCUGAGGCGCGAAAGCUAGGGGAGCAAACAGGAUUAGAUACCCGUGUAGUCCCUGUCUCUUAUAC
This 301-nucleotide ribosomal RNA is filed under the name uncultured bacterium. Its description in RNAcentral is "partial 16S ribosomal RNA". It matches the Rfam family "Bacterial small subunit ribosomal RNA", at positions 509 to 807 of the family's 1533-position model. The record is from RNAcentral.